UUUAUGGAGAGUUUGAUCCUGGCUCAGGAUGAACGCUGGCGGCGUGCCUAAUACAUGCAAGUCGAGCGAACGGACGAGAAGCUUGCUUCUCUGAUGUUAGCGGCGGACGGGUGAGUAACACGUGGAUAACCUACCUAUAAGACUGGGAUAACUUCGGGAAACCGGAGCUAAUACCGGAUAAUAUUUUGAACCGCAUGGUUCAAAAGUAAAAGACGGUCUUGCUGUCACUUAUAGAUGGAUCCGCGCUGCAUUAGCUAGUUGGUAAGGUAACGGCUUACCAAGG
This 283-nucleotide ribosomal RNA is filed under the name Staphylococcus aureus. Its description in RNAcentral is "partial 16S ribosomal RNA". It matches the Rfam family "Bacterial small subunit ribosomal RNA", at positions 1 to 273 of the family's 1533-position model. Lineage: Bacteria; Bacillati; Bacillota; Bacilli; Caryophanales; Staphylococcaceae. The record is from RNAcentral.